Pelobates cultripes (western spadefoot toad) is the source of this 751-nucleotide non-coding RNA. The record is from the annotation of a GenBank genome assembly. Lineage: Eukaryota; Metazoa; Chordata; Amphibia; Anura; Pelobatidae.
CUUUUCUGUUGCUCACCUGCUGAAUUAUAGCACUUGCACCACUCGCCCACCUGGGGUCCAAGUGCAACAGAAAAACACUGCCACAACUACCGGAAGACACCUUGCCCUGGACAACCCCAAGAGCCAUCCAGCUUGUUAAGGACAACCAAGCAUCACCAAUAUGACCACCAGCAAGCCAAACCGAAUACCUAUGGCUAACUUACCGACCUCCCACACGAGCUACUCUGCACUGGACUGGACUUGCCCCCCCCAUGAUGGGAUGGGAUGUUGACUCCUACUAAACACGUUCCAACACUCUCUGGGAGUCCCCCAUCCACAAAUAAGGGGACUGACACUAUUAUACCACAAUGGACGCUCCCCGGGAGAAAACAGAAGAAGAGAGAGACCAGAAGUGCAAGUACAACCCAGGGGACCACAACCCCUCCAGACACAUCACCAGCUACAUACAGUACAUAGGAUAACACACACAGAGACAGGAGCCAAGCUCCACCUCAAAAGACACACUCGCACAAACAAGAACAUGUAGCUCCACACCACACACUGGAGACAACAUAGAGACACAGACAUCAGAGAGACUGGACACUUGUGCUCUGCCUAGCAAUGGUCGCAAUGUUAAAUCUGUGUAAAACUUAGGAUAAAGUCACUUGUCUAUGCUUUGAUGUAAAACCUGUAGGUGCUGAACCGACAGUGAAAAUACAAUGUGUAACCAAUUCUUAAUACUAAGAAUGUUAGCUACUAGAGAGGAAUAAAC